RNAcentral lists this long non-coding RNA (825 nucleotides) under Piliocolobus tephrosceles (Ugandan red Colobus). RNAcentral describes it as "lncRNA (ENSPTEG00000005996.1)". Lineage: Eukaryota; Metazoa; Chordata; Mammalia; Primates; Cercopithecidae. The record is from RNAcentral.
CUUGAACCCGGGAGGCAGAGGUUGCAGUGAGCAGAGAUGGUGCCAUUGCAUUCCAGCCUAGGUGACAAGAGCGAGACUUGGUCUCAAAAACAAAACAAAACAAACAAAAACAUAAAAAAGACUAUGGGACAAUGAUAUUUAUUUGGACACAGGUCUCCAAAUCUACCUCUUCAAAAGAAACGGACACUGUAACAGCCUUGGUGUAACAGCCUUGGUUAAAGACUUAAGGCGUCCCCAACUAAGAGUGGGGCCAUCUCUAAGUUGGCCCCAGUGCCAUCUGCAGACAUUUCUGUCAUCCUCCCAUCCUUGGGGGCUUCUUUCUCCAGCUCCAGUGUGUGCGCAGUAAAGCUUGCAGCUGUACAGCCUCCAAGAAGCAAACCCAGGUCCCACACAGCCACAGUUGUACAGUGACGCCCUUCCCCGUCCCCUUGUUUGAGCUAUGCCCAAGGGACCAGUCUGGACUGCUAUGCCAUCUCACUCCCAACCCAAGCUCCGCCAAACCUGUGCCAGGAACAACUGGGAGGAAUAGGCCAACGUUUCAGAGCCUCGGGAAUGAGAAACAGCAGGAGGUGAGAGGGAACUAGACCAACAGGACCCAAGGGAGAGUAUCAAAGGCACAACAAAGGAAAAUGAGGACAACCCAAUACCCAGAAAAAAAACAAGUAAUUCAUGGACUCACAAUAGGCCACAAACUAGAUGACUGUCAGGAAGAGAAGAGUAAACCUUAUGAUCUUAAAAUGAUUUCUUGUUCAUUUGCCUCCUUGCAUCAAUCUAGACUUUAAGAGAUACGUGAUUUUUAAAUAAAUGGGUACAUCUGCAUAAUAG